RNAcentral lists this ribosomal RNA (696 nucleotides) under uncultured Bacteroidales bacterium. RNAcentral's name for it is "bacterial SSU rRNA". It matches the Rfam family "Bacterial small subunit ribosomal RNA", at positions 32 to 715 of the family's 1533-position model. The record is from RNAcentral. Lineage: Bacteria; Pseudomonadati; Bacteroidota; Bacteroidia; Bacteroidales.
AACGCUAGCUACAGGCUUAACACAUGCAAGUCGCGGGGUAACAUCUGGUAGAGCUUGCUCUUCCAGGAUGACGACCGGCGCACGGGUGAGUAACGCGUAUCCAACCUGGCCCAUACCACGGGAUAGCCCGUCGAAAGGCGGAUUAAUACCGUAUGCUGUCAUUAAGAUGCAUAUAUUGAUGACGAAAGGACUGGCGGUAUGGGAUGGGGAUGCGUCUGAUUAGCUUGUUGGCGGGGUAACGGCCCACCAAGGCGACGAUCAGUAGGGGUUCUGAGAGGAAGGUCCCCCACAUUGGAACUGAGACACGGUCCAAACUCCUACGGGAGGCAGCAGUGAGGAAUAUUGGUCAAUGGGCGCAAGCCUGAACCAGCCAAGUAGCGUGAGGGAAGACUGCCCUACGGGUUGUAAACCUCUUUUGUUUGGGAAUAAAGUGCGGGACGUGUCCCGCAUUGCAUGUACCAUUUGAAUAAGGACCGGCUAAUUCCGUGCCUGCAGCCGCGGUAAUACGGAAGGUCCGGGCGUUAUCCGGAUUUAUUGGGUUUAAAGGGAGCGCAGGCCGUGGGUUAAGCGUGUCGUGAAAUUCCGUCGCUCAACGGCGGACGUGCGGCGCGAACUGGUCCACUUGAGUACGCGGGACGUUGGCGGAAUUCGUGGUGUAGCGGUGAAAUGCUUAGAUAUCACGAAGAACUCCGAUUG